RNAcentral lists this ribosomal RNA (1272 nucleotides) under Triticum aestivum (bread wheat). RNAcentral describes it as "partial small subunit ribosomal RNA". Lineage: Eukaryota; Viridiplantae; Streptophyta; Magnoliopsida; Poales; Poaceae. The record is from RNAcentral.
AUGGAAUAUUAUGAACAAACACAUGAUGAAAAUCCUGAGGAGGAUGACGAGGAAACCCUUGGUAGGGGCAAGAGACAAAGGACUACAAAGACCUUUGGUGAUGAUUUCUUCGUGUACCUCGUGGAUGAUACUCCCACUUCUAUUUCAGAAGCGUAUGCCUCUCCAGAAGCUGACUACUGGAAGGAUGCGGUCCGUAGCGAGAUGGAUUCCAUCAUGGCUAACGGGACAUGGGAGAUCACUGACCGUCCCUAUGGUUGCAAACCACUGGGAUGUAAGUGGGUGUUCAAAAAGAAGCUUAGGCCCGAUGGUACGAUUGAAAAGUACAAGGCUAGGCUUGUGGCCAAGGGCUAUGACCAGCAAGAAGAGGAAGAUUUAUUUGAUACUUAUUCACCUGUGGCUAGACUGACCACCAUUCGAGUAUUACUCUCGUUGGCGGCCUCACAUGGUCUUCUCGUCCAUCAGAUGGAUGUUAAGACGGCUUUUCUAAAUGGAGAGCUAAAGGAGGAAAUCUACAUGCAACAGCCUGAUGGCUUUGUGAUAGAUGGUCAGGAAAGAAAGGUGUGUAGGUUGAUAAAAUCUUUAUAUGGCCUGAAACAAGCACCUAAGCAAUGGCAUGAUAAGUUUAAUACAACUCUGACAUCUGUUGGUUUCGUUGUUAAUGAGGCUGACAAAUGUGUAUACUAUCGCCAUGGUGGGGGCGAAGGAGUUAUACUGUGCUUGUAUGUUGAUGACAUACUGAUAUUCGGAACAAACCUCAAAGUCAUUGAGGAGGAUGUUAUCUUGAACAUCAAGCUACUGAGAGAUAAUGAGGGUGGGAUCACACUUCUGCAAUCCCAUUACGUUGAGAAGGUGUUGAGUCGUUUUGGAUAUUCGGACUGCACACCAUCUCAAACACCAUAUGAUCCUAGCGUAUUGAUUCGAAAGUCCAAAGGCAUGGCUAAAGAUCAAUUGAGAUACUCUCAAAUCAUUGGUUCACUGAUGUACCUAGCGAGCGCAACGAGGCCUGACAUCGCGUUUGCUGUGAGCAAACUGAGCCGGUUUGUUUCCAAACCGGGUGAUGUACAUUGGCAUGCUGUUGAGAGAGUUAUGCGCUAUCUGAAAGGUACUAUGAACUAUGGACUUCACUAUACCGGAUACCCAGAUGAAGGCCACAACUGGGUAUAUGUUUACUCUUGGAGGUGGCGCUGUUUCCUGGAAGUCUUGCAAGCAAACGAUCUUAACGAGAUCGACAAUGGAAGCAGAAUUAAUGGCAUUAGACACAUCUGGUGUUGA